AUGAAAGCAUGCCACACUCAAGAACACCACGAAACUUUGUGGAACCAACGCUUUUUGCAAAAAACCCAAUGCAAAAAACCGUAUACAAAUAAGGGGGGACACAUGUUUGGCCAAGAUUCUAUCUUUUAUAGGAUCACCUUUCUCUAUACGUUAUCUCUUUUUUUUUUUUUCCUAAGGGAAUUUAGUAGACCUUUAAAACUCACCUACUUUCUUCGUGGGCUUUUCCACUUCCAUAGGAGACAUUUUUACUUAAUAAAGCGGGGGAAAUGUUGUGACCGUACACCACACAUCAAAACAGAACAAGCGUUGUGCAAUCAGCUAAGACCAGCACAUGCUGUGUGGUCCACACACAACUUGAGUGAUUUUGCUGCAGACUCGCUCAUUUUUUUGUUUUGUUUUUUGAUAGCCAGUAUUGUAUACCAUUUUUUUUGCAAAAUUGUUAUAGCACAUAUUCAGGUAGUGGGCGUUAAGGUGGGGCAGACACUUGUGUUCUUCUCCCACAACAGAUUUUUGAGUUCAAAUGGUGGGACCCUCCCUAGGACGAAGGUUCAAGUCUCAGAGAGGUGGCCACCACACCCCACCACCACAAAGUGCAAGUGGAGGACUUGACCCAAGAGCUCUCGGUCCUGGGUUUCGUGCCUUUACAAGAUCUCCACAGCUAAAGUGACACCAGCCUAGAAAAGCAUGUGAAAUCAGAAAUACAGCACACAUGACUUUCAGUCCCUUCCAGCCACUCAGAUUCAUUUUGGGGGGCGAAAGCACUCCUGUUGUAAGAACCACCAUACCUACCAUUUGUUAAAGCAGUUAUCUGUGUAGUUGAUUAUUUUUUGUUGAUUCUCUUAGCUUCCAUUUUAGAGGCUGAUAUUUUCUGACCUCAUUCCUGAACUGAGGGGAAAUAGCGACAUCUGUGCCUCUACUGUCCUAAGUUCUCCUGUAAGGAGAUGCCGUUCCAGAAAGUAAUUCAUUCAUAACAUUAUGCUUGGCAGGGAUUAAACCAAUGUGAAUGGGGCAUGGAUUUAGGCAGGUUUACCAGGGUGGAGUUGGUUAGAUUUCUCUUCCUUUUUGAACAUAGUGUGCAAGUCUGAAAAGUCACUGUUACUUGUGGAAUAAAAUUUUGUCUUUUUUUCCCCCUUAUCA
Molecule: long non-coding RNA, 1137 nt
Filed under: Ursus americanus (American black bear)
Lineage: Eukaryota; Metazoa; Chordata; Mammalia; Carnivora; Ursidae
Description: lncRNA (ENSUAMG00000023644.1)
Source: RNAcentral